RNAcentral lists this ribosomal RNA (303 nucleotides) under uncultured bacterium. RNAcentral describes it as "partial 16S ribosomal RNA". It matches the Rfam family "Bacterial small subunit ribosomal RNA", at positions 507 to 809 of the family's 1533-position model. The record is from RNAcentral.
AGCAGUAGCCGCGGUAAUACGGAGGGGGCUAGCGUUGUUCGGAAUUACUGGGCGUAAAGCGCACGUAGGCGGCUUGGUAAGUUAGAGGUGAAAGCCUGGAGCUCAACUCAAGAAUUGCCUUUAAGACUGCCGAGCUAGCAGGUGAGAGAGGUAAGUGGAAUUCCGAGUGUAGAGGUGAAAUUCGUAGAUAUUCGGAAGAACACCAGUGGCGAAGGCGGCUUACUGGCUCAUACUGGACGCUGAGGUGCGAAAGCGUGGGGAGCAAACAGGAUUAGAUACCCGCGUAGUCCCUGUCUCUUAUAA